Molecule: long non-coding RNA, 274 nt
Organism: Olea europaea var. sylvestris
Lineage: Eukaryota; Viridiplantae; Streptophyta; Magnoliopsida; Lamiales; Oleaceae
Exons: 3
Source: RefSeq, a predicted model, not a curated record
CUUAGGUCAAAUUUGAAUCUCAAGGGGGAUACUUUUUGGUUACUUCUUCAUAUGAUAUGACAGCUAAGGUGUGGUCAUCUAGAGAUUUUAAGCCUGUAAAGACAUUAUCUGGUCAUGAAUCAAAGGUUACGUCACUUGAUGUUGUUGGAGAUGGACAAUGCAUUGCAACUGUUUCACACGAUCGUACAAUCAAGCUUUGGUGAGGCAAAGACGAUGAGAAAGAGAAGACAAUGGAUAUUGAUUAACAAGACUGCCACUUGAUUGAGGAAGGCUA